AAUGCCCGUUACAUCUAUCAAUCAUCUUCUUUCUUACGGAGUUGCAGACCCUAAUUUCGCGAUCUCGAUUGUGAGACUUUACCUCUUCCUCACCUUUGUUUGUUUUCGUCAGAUAGAACUAGGAGAGGUCGAACCGAUAGAGAGAUGUCAAGUUGCAGAUAAGAGAGAGGUCAUGUUUGAUCACGUCCGAUACAGCUAACUGCUGCCUCUUUACCUAAAGCUCGGAGAUCCUUCUGUAUCCCUCUCCUCGUGUUUCUAUCUUUCGCCUUCAACAGCUUCCCAUUCAACUCCUUCAUCUCCUUCCUGAUGUCGUUCGCCAGCGCGCUGUUGUCCCCCUUGAGAACCUGAGCGUCUAAGGCACUGUCCAGCACCUGAGGUAACAAGCAGGAGAAAAUCUAGGAAUACUCAGCGUUUUAAGCGUAACCCCCUUAGGGGAGGUCAAUCACUAUUACACAUCAAUCUGUAAACCUGUUUCUCUUUAGCUCCAUCAGUGUCUGCUUCCGUAAAACUCCAUCACCUAACAUAACUACAAAGGUAGAUGGAAGCUUGAUCAUGGAUUUUGAAACUUCUUAAGAGUCUUCUCCGUUGCUUAAUACAUCCCUGGAAGCGUUUCUGGAGCAUUUUUCGUAACAUGAUAGAUGUUCUUCUUGAAAAAAACAAAGGUCACAAAUUAUUCUUGGAGAAUCAAGAUUGAAGAACGAUUCAGUGCUUCAAUUUAUCUCAUGAGUAAGCUAUUUUAUCUCAGACUCUGCAAAAUGAUUUUAAGCGUGUGCUAGAGUUUGCACUUCCUCUUCUUGAAGAUUUUAUUGUUGAUGAUGCCAUUAAACUCUAUAUCAGUCCGUUUACAUAAGAUGCUAAAGGUUUUCGGCUUUAUGCUUAAAUAUAGAAAAUUUAUGGUACUGUGCUUUAUUGCAAAUGGUGGUUAGUCCCGCUAUGAGCAAGGCAAUGGAUGGUUAAAUCCUCAACUCUGAGUAAUGGAGCCCUCUCAGUGAAUUGUUCAGGUUAGAUCAUUCUGAGAGUUUCAAGUGAUGUACUUGAAAGAACAUUCUUAACCACUCAUGGAGGUUGCUGGUUUGAAGGAGAGCAAUGUUGUAGACAUCAAGUAGAUAUGAGAAUCAUACCUCUCUGAAAGUAGAAGUCACUUGCAAAACAGAAGGUGAAGGAGUUUUCGAAAAAGCAACUUUACGGCAGUUCAAGCUUUGACCACUCUGAAACGUCUCAUCGUCCACCGCUCUCGAAAUUAUUCUAUAUAAACACGUUUCAUAUUUAGCCAUGUUCGAGCUAAGUUUGGAUCAGAUGGAGAUGCCACACCAGCUAUCAAAAGCUCCUCCGCUUAUUGGUUUGAGGUUAAUGUAUCUGAUGACGGUGGUGAUGACUGAUGAGGCAACCUUUGUCAUCUUCUACAAAGCUGCAAUGAAACCGGUUGGUAGACAAGCGCCAUUCGUCUUGAACGAGAUCAGAGAGAACAAUGAUGACACUGCAUCUGGAAAAGACAAGUGAGACGCAUAGAUUUCAAAAGCGGCAGAGAAAGGGUGUCAAACUUCCACGUCAUAACUAAGAUCCCAGCAUUGUCCCAUUAAUGCGGUAGACAGAUUUAUGUUUUUGUUUCUGAUUUCUACGGUAACUAUAUCUUAGUCUUCUAUUGUCACUAUAUCUUAGUCGCGCCACCAAGUAAGUUAUUUAAAAAAAAAAUAUGAAUUGUCUUCCAUUUUUCAUUUUUAUGAUCAAAUCUAUAAAAACAUUUAAUAAUUAAAUAAUUCAUUUAAAUAGAUAAUUUGUUUUCAAUCCAA
This is a long non-coding RNA of Raphanus sativus (radish), 1790 nucleotides long. RefSeq lists it as uncharacterized. Lineage: Eukaryota; Viridiplantae; Streptophyta; Magnoliopsida; Brassicales; Brassicaceae. The record is from RefSeq and is a predicted model, not a curated record. The transcript has 5 exons.